This 92-nucleotide signal recognition particle RNA is filed under the name Bdellovibrionales bacterium GWA2_49_15. Its description in RNAcentral is "signal recognition particle sRNA small type". It matches the Rfam family "Bacterial small signal recognition particle RNA". Rfam says of the family: The signal recognition particle (SRP) is a universally conserved ribonucleoprotein involved in the co-translational targeting of proteins to membranes. Archaeal SRP consists of a 7S RNA and homologues of the eukaryotic SRP19 and SRP54 proteins. The record is from RNAcentral. Lineage: Bacteria; Pseudomonadati; Bdellovibrionota; Bdellovibrionia; Bdellovibrionales.
UAGUUGGUCGGACAAACAGGGAUAGGUGAACCCGCCAGGUCGGGAACGAAGCAACGGUGUCUGAUUCCUUGCUGUGUUCGUACCAGCUACCG